This 253-nucleotide ribosomal RNA is filed under the name uncultured bacterium. Its description in RNAcentral is "partial 16S ribosomal RNA". It matches the Rfam family "Bacterial small subunit ribosomal RNA", at positions 524 to 776 of the family's 1533-position model. The record is from RNAcentral.
GACGUAGGGCGCGAGCGUUGUCCGGAUUUAUUGGGCGUAAAGAGCUCGUAGGCGGCUCGUUGCGUCAACCGUGAAAACCCGGGGCUUAACUUCGGGCUUGCGGUUGAUACGGGCGGGCUGGAGUUCGGUAGGGGAGACUGGAAUUCCUGGUGUAGCGGUGAAAUGCGUAGAGAUCCGGAGGAACACCAAAGGCGAAGGCAGUGUCCUGGGGAGUACCUGACGCUCAGGUGCGAAAGCCAGGGGAGCGAACGGG